Molecule: ribosomal RNA, 253 nt
Filed under: uncultured bacterium
Lineage: Bacteria
Description: partial 16S ribosomal RNA
Rfam family: Bacterial small subunit ribosomal RNA
Source: RNAcentral
UACGGAGGGUGCAAGCGUUAUCCGGAUUCACUGGGUUUAAAGGGUGCGUAGGCGGCUAUUUAAGUCAGUGGUGAAAUCCCCCAGCUUAACUGGGGAAUUGCCUACGAUACUGCCUGGCUCGAGGGAGGAAGGGGCGGCCGGAACUGUCGGUGGAGCGGUGAAAUGCGUUGAGAUCGACAGGAACGCCGGUGGCGAAAGCGGGCCGCUGGCCCUCUUCUGACGCUGAGGCGCGAAAGCCAGGGGAGCGAACGGG